GUAUGAUGGACUCCCACCAACUGGCACAGGCGCCUGCGCUGAGUGGCUUGCCUUACUGGUAGGUGGGAAAAAGUGACUUCUGUUUAGGCGUAAAGCAGCGAAAAACACUGAGAAAAUGUCGAGGGGCACUGUGGCAAAGGACAAUCGGGUGCACAGUGAAUACCUCAGGAAUGAAUACUUUGCAUGGGAAGGGACUGGAGACUGAAAGGCCGUGAAGGAAUUUUUCCGCUAAUUGAGGAAACCAAAGGUACCAGUCUUCACUCGGUGAAGCGGAGUGGAAAAAACAAAACACACACACACGAGAAGAACCACCAACAGACAAUAAAACCAAACGCGUAAAAGACAGAAAUUGAGCGGCGAAAGAAGAGGCUGAAAGGCUGUUCGUUCAUUGACGAGUUGAAUAAUCUCUAGUAAAAGCCCGGAGACAAUGCAUUUAAAACUUGGGACACAUGUGUCAGGACCUGAGGUAUUCAGCAUUAGUCAGUCAACAUGUCCCUGCUGUGUGUGUGGAGUGCUCUUCUAAAUUCUGUGGGGUGUGAUGAUGGCAGUAUUUCCUGGAGAAGCAUGCUGUAUAAAGGAGAACUGGAAUAAACACAAGUGUGACAGAACUGCAACUAAGUGAUUGGAAGAAAAGGAGCGUGGUUUCGGGCUGCGCGCUGACUAGGGCGCCACUCGCGAGGCCGCAACAGAGCCCGCAGCGCCGCCAUCGGCGAGCCAGAGCCUUCCAGCCCCGGAGCAUCGAACUGCGGACACCCUUCAGCUGGGCGAGUUUGAGGAGCCGCCUGCAACCUUCGAGUGAGCUCGGCGCGCACAGAACACCGCUCUGGACGCGCGCCUCGGCGCAGACAAGAGGACUGGAUUUUACAAAACAUGAGUUUUACAUAGAAGAUAGAGAACAUGGAAAAUACCUCAAGCAAAGUGACAUCAACCUGAAGGUUUAAUUCUGAUCCCAUCCAGGACUCCAUAAUAUAUCAAGGUAUCAUGUCUCCUUAGGCUCUAAGAAGGUGUUUUCAUUCAAUGACCUUGACAGUUUUGAGUGCUGAUAAGGGCUUCCUGUCAAGAAGAGGAACAAAUUAUGAUUUCUAAUAUCUUGGUGGUGGUGGUGGUAAUAAAGAAAAGGAUUCGGGAGAGACAAAGCUGCAUGAUGCUAUUACCUUCACAGAUGGGGAUAAUGGAAAGUUUCUGGUGGAAUGUGAGAUGAGCGAGUGAAGGAACAAGAGCCAUUAGAUACCAAAUUCACCUACUUCUCAGUUGUGCCCGGUUCCUGGGACAAUGGCGGUAACGUUGAGCCCCCCUGCAGCCUUGGGAGUGGAGAGCUGCUGCUCCUGAAAGUCUUUCUUCUCCCUACCCUAUUGGAAUACGUCCACAAAACUGAUAAGGAUUGCUGUGAGAAGAUAGAAUGAGAUGGUAGUUUGCAGGUUGGCGUUUUGCACUUAAGUACCCAGGUUAAAACUGUCAUAGAAACAACAAAGUCCUUGCUACCUGUGAUGACCUGAAAAUAAAAUGCAGAACAAUCCUGCUAGAGCCUGGGAUCGGGAAGUCCUCACGGGAAGAAAGCCAGGAGGAAAGAAAGGUUUCUAGACCACGUGUUUCGGCAGCAGUGGCACGGCACCAUCUUAACAGCCACCAUGUAAAAUGUAGAAAGUUCUUGUGGUAGCUGGUCUUCAGAGAUGGCCUCCCAGUGAAUUACACCUUCCAGUAUUCAUGCCUUUGUGUAGUCUUUCCCCACACUGAACCUGGGCUGGCCCCAUUUAACAAAUAGACUGCAGUAGUGGUGAUGCUUUGUGACUUCUAAGGAUAGAACACAAGAAGCCUUGUAGCCUCUGCCUUGGUUUCUUAGAACUCUUAUUCUGGGGGAAGCAAGCAGCCAUUUGAAAUUUACCUUGAGACCACCAUGCUGUGAGGAAACCCAAUCUAGACUCAUUGAGAGCCCACGUGAAGAGAGAGACACCUGACCAGUCUGCCCAGUUAAGGUGUAAAUCAUGUGAUGGAAGAAGCUGUCUUGGAUGUCCAACACAAAACAUCAGAUGAAGUCAGCCCCAGCUACCACCUGAUGACGAAAGCAUGAAAGACUCCAAAGGAGAAUCACCAGAAUGAGCUGCAGCCACCAUGAUGUCUUGUUGCCAGAAGGCUGGAGCUCAAGUUCUUCCUCUCAGUCCUGGAGAUGCUGCCACUAUGCCAUCACGAAAUGCAGUUGAGAGGGCAAGCACUUGAUUGAUGCAUCCCAGGGCUGCUUGGUGCUCCAUUUAGAAGGGAGUUGAGCAUGAUACAGCUUCUGUCAUCUCUGCAUGUUAAAACAAUCUAAGUACAGUUGACUGAGAUCAAUUUUCUGGUUAACGAUGAAGAUUUAUAGAACAGCAGGAGAAGUUGACUCCUGGUGGUCAUUUCGAGGAAAGCCAACUCUGCUCAAAGGAUGGCUGCUGACCUGAUGUUCCUGCUAAAUAUUGACACAGCCCAACUGACUCAUGUUUUUGUCAAAGAGUUUAGAAUAUGAAGAAACUGGAUGACUAGAAUACAAUAUGAAUUGCUUUGCAUUUCCAAACCUUCUAAACUUUCAAGCAUAUACUUGUUUCACCACAUUUAACUAUGUAAAGAGAAGAUGUUUUUUUCACUGGGCUGGUUUUUUUUCUUUCUUUCUUUUUUUUUUAAAGCAUUGCUUAAUAUCUGUGUUAAAUAAAUCUUAGUCAAUGUCAGGAUAUUGUGGGAUUUUUUUUUUUUUUUUUAAUACAGGGAAAGAAAUUUAGAAGUGUUUGUAAAUGUUUAUGUCUAUAAACCCCUUCUGGUGGGUUUGACCCAUGACAUAUAUGAAGCCUUGAUCCACUAUUUGGAGAGAACUUGAAUCUCAAACCAGAUCCUGAAAGAGUAGGACUAAUGUUCCCAGAACUUAAAAUGAAAACUUCCUGUUACUAGGAAACCUGAAGUCAAGUCACACGAUUUUAAGCACUAUGUACCAUUCAUCAAUGCUAUGCAAACCCGCCGCGAUUUUGCCAAGCUGGAAAACUUGCCAUCAGAACCCAACCGAAGGACAAACUUAAUAACCCAUCAUACUCCCCAAGCCCCUAGCGAAAAGACUUCCUCGUGAGUCCCUGGCUCCCAGCCCCUGGACCGGCCACAACGGAGCAGUGUGCUCCGGGGAGAGCUAGGCAGGAGGGCAGCGCGUCCUGGAGCCGCGCAUA
Prionailurus viverrinus (fishing cat) is the source of this 3176-nucleotide RNA transcript. It is a transcript of the gene named family with sequence similarity 237 member B, with no coding region annotated. The transcript is spliced from 16 exons. Lineage: Eukaryota; Metazoa; Chordata; Mammalia; Carnivora; Felidae. The record is from RefSeq and is a predicted model, not a curated record.